UGUUGAGUAAUUUUCUAGAGCAGCAGGUUUAUAUGAAUGGCUCGCUCUAACAUGUUGUCAUUUUUAUAGUAACAGCUCGUUCGUAGGGACUUGUAUAUGCACGCGCCACACAAUUUGAGUUUAAGGGUUAUUAGUUUUCUGUAAGGAGAUGUGUAUUUAAUAUUUAUGGAAGGAGUCUCCAGCGUCACGGAAUUUUGCAGCUUUCAGUAUCAAGCUGCUUUAUCGUGCGGUUUCUGUAACUUGAGAGAAAAGAGAGGCCGGUGAGGGAACGACUGGGUGUUUCACAACAUUAAAUGCAACCAUAAAUGGACAAAAGUAUGAGGUAGUCUCUUUAAUAAAUUAAAAGAAAUCAUAAUAGUGACCAAAUUGUCGUGGUGUAAGAGGAAUAAAGCCCCGGUGUGCUGUUUUCGGAGAUGAAUCUACAGUAGAGUUAACAGUAACGCCGCUUCAGCAUGACACAGUGUGUUUAUAUCCUUAACUCACUGUGAUUAUUUUAUCCUCUUUCAAUAAUAUAGUGUGUUUGUGUGUUAUUGUUGCGUAUAUGUUUUUGUGUUGAGUAUAUUUGUCGUGUGUGUCUUGUAUAUAUUGCUGUCGUGUUGCGUGUGUGUUUUUCGUAUGUUUUUAGUAUAUUUUGUUGUUAUUGUUAUAUAUUAUAAUGACAACAAUAAUUUAUACAGUGUAUUAUUGUUGCUAUAUAUUGUUGUUGCGUAUGUGCGUGUUUUAGAUAUGUGUUUAGUAUAUAUUGUUUUAAUUGUUGUGUGGUGUAUGUGUUUUGUAUAUAUCGUUGUGUUGUGUGUUGUGUGUUUAUGUGCGUGUUCUGUACACAAAAGCGUCUGCGAAAUGAAUAAAUGUAUAUAUUCUUGUGUUGUGUGUUUAUGUGUUUGUUUAUGUGUGUGUUUUAGGUGUGUGUUUUGUAUAUAUUGUUGAUAUUGCUGUGUUGUGUAUGUGUUUGUAUAUAUUGUUGUUGUGUGUGGUUUUUUUUGUGUAUAUAUUGCUGGAGGUACUGUUGCUGUGUGUGUGUGUGUGUGUGUGUGUGGAUUGAGGAGAAAGUUUUGCAGGACAGAUAUACGAUAGCUGGAGGUUGUUAUGGCAUGGAAGACUUAUUACGAAUUAAAUAUCUCGUGUUUAUUUGUUUAUUUAUUUGUUUUGUUUAUGUGUGUAUAUAUUGGGCUGAGCGAGAUCAUCUCUCUUUUAUAAUCAUGCCCUUGUAACAUUGCAUAAGCUACUCAGUACACAUAUUAAACUCUGCAUGCACUCCAUCACCGCGCUGCUGCAAGGCCAUCAGUCGCACUGAAAUGCAG
This is a long non-coding RNA of Ictalurus punctatus (channel catfish), 1301 nucleotides long. The record is from Ensembl. Lineage: Eukaryota; Metazoa; Chordata; Actinopteri; Siluriformes; Ictaluridae.